Molecule: ribosomal RNA, 305 nt
Filed under: uncultured bacterium
Lineage: Bacteria
Description: bacterial SSU rRNA
Rfam family: Bacterial small subunit ribosomal RNA
Source: RNAcentral
CCUACGGGGGGCAGCAGUGAGGAAUAUUGGUCAAUGGGCGGGAGCCUGAACCAGCCAAGUCGCGUGAGGGAAGACGGUCCUAUGGAUUGUAAACCUCUUUAGGCGGGGAGCAAUGCCGGGCACGCGUGCCCGGAGGGAGAGUACCCGCAGAAUAAGCAUCGGCUAACUCCGUGCCAGCAGCCGCGGUAAUACGGAGGGUGCAAGCGUUAAUCGGAAUUACUGGGCGUAAAGCGCACGCAGGCGGUUUGUUAAGGCAGAUGUGAAAUCCCCGGGCUCAAACUGGGAAAUGCAUCUGAAACUGGCAA